RNAcentral lists this transfer RNA (71 nucleotides) under Loxodonta africana (African savanna elephant). It matches the Rfam family "tRNA". Rfam says of the family: Transfer RNA (tRNA) molecules are approximately 80 nucleotides in length. The record is from Rfam by way of RNAcentral. Lineage: Eukaryota; Metazoa; Chordata; Mammalia; Proboscidea; Elephantidae.
GCUUUGGUGGUUCAGUGGUAGAAUUCUUGCCUUCCAUGCAGGAGACCUGAGUUCCAUUCCUGGCCAGUGCA